Molecule: ribosomal RNA, 309 nt
Filed under: Triticum aestivum (bread wheat)
Lineage: Eukaryota; Viridiplantae; Streptophyta; Magnoliopsida; Poales; Poaceae
Description: partial small subunit ribosomal RNA
Source: RNAcentral
AUGACACCACUUGCACCACAAAUUGAUCGGUUUUUUUUUUUUUUGCUGUGUCUGCCUACCUUCAUUAGGCAGUUCUUAAUUUGUAGAGUUCAAUCAACAUUAUUGUACAUGUGUGGCACUGAUGUAUUUAUCAUUUAUGCGGAUGUAUUUUGUAAACUGCCUGAAAUGAUGAAAGGAAAAACCAGUAUACCAAUUGUCAGCCCUGUGGACAUUUAUUUAGCUUGCGCUGGAUCAUUUGUGUUUGCCUCGUGCCUACACAAACAUGUGCCUACAAAAUUAGUUUGCCUCGUGCCUAACUUUGCACCUUAA